GUACCGCUGGGGUUUGACUUUUAGAUCUAACAGAUAAAAAUAGACCUCAUGCAUAGGGCUACAUGAUUUUUACGAGGGGCAUAGGCUGUAUAUGAACACUAAGAACUUCACCACAGCCCUACUCACAUGAGGAUCACAGGAAUCACCGAAAUAAGAAUAUGCCUAGUCAAGAGAGAGCAAGUUGUAGAUCUAAUCCAAACAUAGUUCAAGUGCUAGAUCUAAAACAAGUAAGUCCUAGGGCAUGGCAAAAUAA
This 253-nucleotide long non-coding RNA is filed under the name Hordeum vulgare. RNAcentral's name for it is "long non-coding RNA (HVUL_LNC018727)". The record is from RNAcentral. Lineage: Eukaryota; Viridiplantae; Streptophyta; Magnoliopsida; Poales; Poaceae.